GAUGAACGCUGGCGGCGUGCCUAAUACAUGCAAGUCGAGCGAACGGACGAGAAGCUUGCUUCUCUGAUGUUAGCGGCGGACGGGUGAGUAACACGUGGAUAACCUACCUAUAAGACUGGGAUAACUUCGGGAAACCGGAGCUAAUACCGGAUAAUAUUUUGAACCGCAUGGUUCAAAAGUGAAAGACGGUCUUGCUGUCACUUAUAGAUGGAUCCGCGCUGCAUUAGCUAGUUGGUAAGGUAACGGCUUACCAAGGCAACGAUGCAUAGCCGACCUGAGAGGGUGAUCGGCCACACUGGAACUGAGACACGGUCCCGACUCCUACGGGAGGCAGCAGUAGGGAAUCUUCCGCAAUGGACGAAAGCCUGACGGAGCAACGCCGCGUGAGGGAUGAAGGUCUUCGGAUCGUAAAACUCUGUUAUUAGGGAAGAACAUAUGUGUAAGUAACUGUGCACAUCUUGACGGUACCUAAUCAGAAAGCCACGGCUAACUACGUG
This 497-nucleotide ribosomal RNA is filed under the name uncultured bacterium. Its description in RNAcentral is "partial 16S ribosomal RNA". It matches the Rfam family "Bacterial small subunit ribosomal RNA", at positions 28 to 507 of the family's 1533-position model. The record is from RNAcentral.